GCGUGAAGCGCCUCAACCCCGCUGUCUAACCCGGAGAGCAGCUGUUCGUGGUCGUAUAGGCUCUUCCCUUGCGUUUGAAGGGCGGAGCGCAUUGCGCUGUCCUCUGCUGAGUCCAUCAGAUUGUAGUGUCACGUUUCACGUCUGGAUGAGGACUCAAAUGGAGAGAUUUGACACUGGAGACUAGAUUUAACUUGAAAAAAAAGGUUCAUUGGUGAACAAAAGGAAACUCAAAACAACACGAAAGCGCAAAAUCCACAAAAAAGGGCAGUCACAGUCAUUAACAAAAUACAGGGAAUUUUCACAGACACAUGAGGCUAACGAGACGUUACAAGUUGUACAACUUAUUUAUUAACUUACACAGCUGAUGACAGCAUGUUUUUCAAUAAGUUCCAUGUUCUUUUAUUCCAACGUAAUAGUUCCGGAAUCAAAAAAAAAAUGUGUGAGGGAACAGACGAGUAUGAUUCACUCAAAUUACACACCUUGAGUGCAGAAGGCUAUAGAGAGAGAGGGAAAUCUCGUUUUCAGCUAUUGUUUUCUGAAGAAUUUUCAAGUUUUAACAGCCUGUGGCCGCAUGGAUUACAUUUGUGAUGAGGAUCGUUCGAUGACGAAAUUCAGAGAGGCCAUGUCCAGACUUACCAUAACCAUAAGUGGACCAAUGAACCACCCGUCCAGGAGCUCCCCUGAGCCCAUGGUCAUUGAUGGUGGGCCUCUGUCUAAGACACAGGAAAAAAUACCAGAGGCCAAAAAGAAGGAGGCUCCCUUUGUAAAAAGGGAUGAAACCGGUGACUCUGGGGCCACUGGAGGAGGAUCCACCCAGACAUCACUGAAAAUUAAGCAAAGACGUGCCUAUAAAAGAACAUUCAAGGAUGUUAAUCCAGCCGGUAUUAGACGACACACAGGACACCCUCUUCACCAUGUGAUGAAGACCUGGAUGAAAAGGACUCCUAGAGUGUGUUUGUCACAGAAAUGGGGAGAAAGUGGACUAAACAAGAACAGCAGCCGGCUCAAUGUCACUUCACACCUUUUCAAUGAAGAGAGCGAAGUGGACGGAGAAACCAGAACAACCAUCACUGAGUGAAACAUUGCUGGUUCCCUUCCUGUGUUUGUAUUCAUCAACUGCCUGUCUGCAUUUUAUUUGGGCCUAUCUUAUUGUAUAUUGUUACAUAAAAUGUAUUGCAUAAUACUAUAUCAUAAUGUAUACUAAUUAAGUGCUACUAUAUUGUUUUGCAUUGUAUUAAUGGUAUACUAUCAUUACAUUAUUAUUACAUUGUGUUAUAUUGUUAUUAAAUACCAUAAGUUCAUAUUGCCUUACCUAAAGUGUCUUCCUAUCUCACAGUUCAUUUAAAUCUAAAGAUGCCUCUCUGCAAUUUUAGUAUAUGUAUAAUGUGAAUUAUCUCUAAUCAAACCCACUCACACAACAGUAACAAGUUUUCUUAUUGACCUGAACAUAAAGGGCCUCUCACCCCUCCCUUCAUAAGAUCAACUCUAUGCUUUAAUGAUUUGUCAGAAACAAUCAUUGUGGUGUAUAAAUAUAUCAAAGUGUAAGAUGCUAAAUUAAACCUGUGGGCAAUGUGUGCAUAACUGGCAUAAAUGUAUGCAACUGCAUAUUUAGCUGCAUCUUCAUGAUUAUUUUGAAUUGAAUGGAUUUCAUUAUUUUACUUGGCUGGAUUUUUUGGUAAGGAAAUAACAGAUGGAAGGGAGGUAUCUUGCGGCCAGAU
This is a long non-coding RNA of Gasterosteus aculeatus aculeatus (three-spined stickleback), 1718 nucleotides long. The record is from Ensembl. NCBI's taxonomy places the organism in Eukaryota, Metazoa, Chordata, Actinopteri, Perciformes, Gasterosteidae.